Molecule: ribosomal RNA, 54 nt
Filed under: uncultured eukaryote
Lineage: Eukaryota
Description: partial small subunit ribosomal RNA
Source: RNAcentral
UAUGAUUGGGGUGAAGUGUAACAAGGAGCUGUAGGUGAACCUGCAGAAGGAUCA